RNAcentral lists this ribosomal RNA (403 nucleotides) under bacterium. RNAcentral's name for it is "partial 16S ribosomal RNA". It matches the Rfam family "Bacterial small subunit ribosomal RNA", at positions 355 to 776 of the family's 1533-position model. The record is from RNAcentral.
UGGGUCCUAUUGCACAAUGGGGGAAACCCUGAUGCAGCGACGCCGCGUGAACGAAGAAGGUAUUCGUAUCGUAAAGUUCUGUCCUAUGGGAAGAUAAUGACAGUACCAUAGAAGAAAGCUCCGGCUAAAUACGUGCCAGCAGCCGCGGUAAUACGUAUGGAGCGAGCGUUGUCCGGAAUUAUUGGGCGUAAAGGGUACGCAGGCGGUUUAAUAAGUCGAAUGUUAAAGAUCGGGGCUCAACCCCGCAAAGCAUUGGAAACUGAUAAACUUGAGUAGUGGAGAGGAAAGUGGAAUUCCUAGUGUAGUUGUGAAAUACGUAGAUAUUAGGAGGACUACCAGUAGCGAAGGCCACUGUCUGGACACAAACUGACGCUGAGGUACGAAAGCGUGGGGAGCAAACAGG